AACGAACGCUGGCGGCAGGCUUAACACAUGCAAGUCGAACGCCCCGCAAGGGGAGUGGCAGACGGGUGAGUACCGCGUGGGAACAUACCCUUUUCUACGGAAUAGCUCUGGGAAACUGGAAUUAAUACCGUAUACGCCCUACGGGGGAAAGGUUUAUCGGGGAAGGAUUGGCCCGCGUUGGAUUAGCUAGUUGGUGGGGUAAAGGCCAACCAAGGCGACGAUCCAUAGCUGGUCUGAGAGGAUGAUCAGCCACAUUGGGACUGGGACACGGCCCAAACUCCUACGGGAGGCAGCAGUGGGGAAUAUUGGACAAUGGGCGCAAGCCUGAUCCAGCCAUGCCGCGUGAGUGAUGAAGGCCUUAGGGUUGUAAAGCUCUUUCACCGAUGAAGAUAAUGACGGUAGUCGGAGAAGAAGCCCCGGCUAACUUCGUG
This 431-nucleotide ribosomal RNA is filed under the name uncultured bacterium. RNAcentral's name for it is "partial 16S ribosomal RNA". It matches the Rfam family "Bacterial small subunit ribosomal RNA", at positions 29 to 507 of the family's 1533-position model. The record is from RNAcentral.